AAGAAAUUACCGUUAUUAGGAUUUUUUUUUUUUCUUCUGCAGUGAAAUGUUCAUUACAUGCGUGAUGUUCUAUGGAUAGCUCAUGGAAUCUUGACUACAACUACCCUUUCCAGCUCAGAUUCAGUUUGUGGAGACAUUUUUUUUUUUUUUUUUCCUUCUGGAGCUGGCUGACUGUGACCACUGGCAAAGCCAGUUUCCUUUGCAGCUUUAAAAAGUGAUCCGGAAACACAAUGUGGAGGCAGCCUAUGUGAGCAGGAAACAUCCUCAAAAGAGCUUACAUAAGGGCUAUGUGGGGUGAAGAUUUUAUAGUGAGGCAUGACGAAUUCAGUUCCAAAUUUUUCAAAAUUCGAAUGAGUUCCUUUUUUCGUAGAAUUAAGGGUUCAAAGGAUGGACCGACAUAAAUCAGGGGGUUCAUAGUUUAAAAAUCCCCAGAGUUACAGAGCUCAAAGUCCUACAAAGAGCAGAGGAAGUUCUGGAACACGACACUCAAAGGCACGGUGAUGCCUGAAGCCGGUGUUCAUUCUCAGCCACCACGCACGGCACUCGGAAAUUGGACCCCACGGUUUCAGCACCCUCCCUGGUUCUGUUCAGUCCCUGGUUUCACUGCUUCAACAUAUCGUUUGUCAGUGCCUGUUCCGUACCUGGAACGUGACCCAGUCGGUGUCCUCAUAAGCUCGCAGUGUCGUGCAGGAAUGGAAAAGCAAGCAAGCCCCAGAGCGGUCCAGGGCUUUGCCUAA
Molecule: long non-coding RNA, 737 nt
Filed under: Felis catus (domestic cat)
Lineage: Eukaryota; Metazoa; Chordata; Mammalia; Carnivora; Felidae
Description: lncRNA (ENSFCAG00000052316.1)
Source: RNAcentral